CAGAGGGUGCGAGCGUUAAUCGGAAUUACUGGGCGUAAAGCGCACGUAGGCGGCUUUGCAAGUCGGGUGUGAAAUCCCCGGGCUCAACCUGGGAACUGCAUCCGAGACUGCCUAGCUAGAGUAUGGGAGAGGGAAGCGGAAUUUCCGGUGUAGCGGUGAAAUGCGUAGAUAUCGGAAGGAACACCAGUGGCGAAAGCGGCUUCCUGGACCAAUACUGACGCUGAUGUGCGAAAGCGUGGGGAGCAAACAGGAUUAGAUACCCUGGUAGUCCACGCCAUAAACGAUGAGAACUGGAUGUCGGAAGGGUUUGCCUUUCGGUGUCGUAGCUAACGCGUUAAGUUCUCCGCCUGGGGAGUACGGCCGCAAGGUUG
Molecule: ribosomal RNA, 371 nt
Filed under: uncultured organism
Description: bacterial SSU rRNA
Rfam family: Bacterial small subunit ribosomal RNA
Source: RNAcentral